RNAcentral lists this long non-coding RNA (1714 nucleotides) under Salmo salar (Atlantic salmon). Its description in RNAcentral is "lncRNA (ENSSSAG00000085905.1)". The record is from RNAcentral. Lineage: Eukaryota; Metazoa; Chordata; Actinopteri; Salmoniformes; Salmonidae.
GAUUGGCUACUGCAGCUUGCGGACUGGAAACCCCCUGAAAGAUCAGAGUUGAAAGAAACGAAAGUUGAGCCUAACUAUUGAUGCUGUCCAGAGAAGUGCGGAGGAAACACCAAAGAGCAGGAAAAGAAUAAGACAAAGUGAGCCUGCUUUUCAAGACACUGUUCCUACUUCAACAGUGAUCCUGCAUCAAGUAAAGCUUAGCAGUGUUUAGCAGCCUUCAACUUGACCUACAUUCCGGAUUACAAGAUAACACUCCAGAGGGCCAUUAAACGGCAGAACAUCCACUUCAAACAUUCUAUCCAGGACAGGAUAGCACAGUAACAGCAUGUGCACGCAAAGUGGCUCGCCCUGCGCUCAACGGACAGAAUCCAGACCAUUCAUAUGGAAUCAGGAGAACAUUCUUGACAACGCUGAAGUGAGAGCAGAACAUGGACGUGGUUGUGCGCAAUAACCGCAGAGGACACCGGGAGUUUGCUGUCCAGGCCGAGCACUUGAAACUGCCGGAACUAGGACUGAGACUGAAAGCUCAGGACAUUCACAACAACUACCUCUUCAAAGACAACAUCCCAGAAUACCCAAGGCCAGAGUUCUGGGUUUCCCAGCUCAGACACGACACAGAUGAAUACGGGCUAUUUGGCAUAGCCGUCGAAAGCGAUGGGGGGUUCUGUGCUAGGGACCGAGAAGAGGGGCCAGAGGACCCAGAAGAGGGGCCAGAGGGUUUGGACCUGCUGUGGUGGAGCUUGUCUUUGGGAGCAGAAGAGAUGGCCUCGGCUGAACAACGUCUGCUCCAGACCAGGUACCCUGACAGGACAGAGGAGCAGGCCAGGGAGCAGAAAUCCUUCCUGCAGAGGUUCGCCACCUCACCUGCCUUCCUGGACACCUCUCGGCUGGGCUCCUACCGCUUCACCUUCCCCCUGGAGGAGCUGCUCAAGAGAUACCGGGAACAGCUAUGCGUUGGACACGAGCCAAUCCUGCGUGUUUAUGAGACAGUCCUGUACAAACAGGAGGUGAUGUACUCAGUGCUAGUCCACAGUCACUACAACAACGACCUCUUUGAGAAGUACCCUCUCCUCCAGGACAAUGAUGAUGGAGUCUGUGCUUACAGAGAUGGACAAAUCAUUUGGAGACCCGAGGCCAUGUGUCAGACACACAGCUUGAAAUUGGUGCCAAAGCCCUACCAGAACCAGGAUGUAGCCCACCUGAUCCCUGAUCCACAGAAACACCAGUUCUACGUUUGGGACAACAUUGCUGUAGCGUUCCACAUGGACGGUUCACAGAUGUUGACCUUCGAUAGGUACAAUUUGAGACACCAUCUGAGAUUCUGUGAGCCAGGAACGCCACAAUUUUCCCCCGACUGUGAGUUCACCACAUACGAGGAGGCUAAAGACAUGGUGGACUGCUAUUGGCCUUACUACCCCACCCCCCUCUACUGAUAAACUUACUACCACACCCCCCUGUUCUGCUAAACUUACUACCCCACCCCCCUCUACUGAUAAACUUACUUCCACACCCCCCUGUUCUGCUAAACUUACUACCCCACCCCCCUCUACUGAUAAACUUACUACCACACCCCCUGUUCUGCUAAACUUACUACCACACCCCUUGUUCUGAUUAACUUACUACUACACCCCCUGUUCUGCUAAACUUACUACCCCACCCCCCUCUACUGAUACACUUACUACCACACCCCCUGUUCUGCUAAACUUACUACCCC